CAGACUUUUCCUAGUCCCUGAGACCCUAACUUGUGAGGUAUUUUAGUAACAUCACAAGUCAGGCUCUUGGGACCUAGGCGGAGGGGA
RNAcentral lists this microRNA precursor (87 nucleotides) under Rhinolophus ferrumequinum (greater horseshoe bat). RNAcentral describes it as "microRNA 125b-2 (ENSRFEG00010006224.1)". The stretch from base 9 to 78 matches the Rfam family "lin-4 microRNA precursor family", at positions 1 to 71 of the family's 80-position model. From Rfam's summary of the family: The extents of the hairpin precursors are not generally known and are estimated based on hairpin prediction. The products are thought to have regulatory roles through complementarity to mRNA. The involvement of Dicer in miRNA processing suggests a relationship with the phenomenon of RNA interference. Lineage: Eukaryota; Metazoa; Chordata; Mammalia; Chiroptera; Rhinolophidae. The record is from RNAcentral.